RNAcentral lists this long non-coding RNA (943 nucleotides) under Canis lupus familiaris (dog). RNAcentral's name for it is "lncRNA (ENSCAFG00040022749.1)". Lineage: Eukaryota; Metazoa; Chordata; Mammalia; Carnivora; Canidae. The record is from RNAcentral.
AUGUCUCCUGGCAAUUACCUCUACCUGGGACCCAAAGCAGUUUGCAUGACCACUAAAGGGUUAGCUGAUAGCUGUGAUUGGCCAUUGAGAAGAGGGAGGAGUAAUGACUUCAAUGACCCCAGAAGAUUCCAGAGCAGAGAACAGCAGCAGUCUGGCUUUGUUCUUUGGUACCAAGUGCCCCCGUCAACCACUGCAAUGCAGAGAUGGUACAGUGGAGAAUCCUGAUGCUUGGUAAGGGCACUGUCACUACUUUUAUCUUCUUGAUUUUUUAAAAAUGUCUUUAAUAAUGUAUUAUAUUUAUAAUAAAAAAUAAAAAGUAGCACAUGUCUAUAAUAAUUAAGAAAAAGAUCUUAUCCAAAUUGCUAAAACAUAAUCCUAUACAUUCAGAAUUCCCACUGUCUGCUGGACAGCAACAGGUCUCUCAGUAAGGAAGGGUGAUUUCAUCUGCCUGCAUAUGCUGAGGCAGCACAGUAGAGAAAUACCAGUAGUCUAUCUGUUCCAAGUGUUUAAUAACAGAAUAAGUGUUUCUAUAGAGCCAUUAUGAGUCAAAGCCAGAAUUUUAAAAAUUUAUUUAUUUAUUUACUUUUAGAAAACAACAUACAAAUAACUAAAACUUGUGUAUCCAGCAGAGAUAUAUGCUGUGAACAGUGUGACUGAAUCACUAGGAACUUUGCCUAGAGAGGGCUCAUUUGUGUAAGUGCUGCAAAAAUUUUAUCACCUAUUUCUCUUUUCUUAAAACAACAACAACAACAACAAAAAAAAAACCCCAACGUUGAUGGAGGCAUCUGAGUUUAUUUCAAUAUAGUUUUAAAUACUUAUAAAAUCACUCUACCUCAACACUAUUUGUUGGUGGUGCUAGUAGCAGUCGUAGAGGUGUGGCGUGAGGGUGAUUCUUGACAGCUCACUGAAAUCCGUGUGAUGAAUGAAUAGAACAAUAGAUGGG